Molecule: ribosomal RNA, 497 nt
Filed under: uncultured bacterium
Lineage: Bacteria
Description: partial 16S ribosomal RNA
Rfam family: Bacterial small subunit ribosomal RNA
Source: RNAcentral
GAUGAACGCUGGCGGCGUGCCUAAUACAUGCAAGUCGAGCGAACAGAUAAGGAGCUUGCUCCUUUGACGUUAGCGGCGGACGGGUGAGUUACACGUGGAUAACCUACCUAUAAGACUGGGAUAACUUCGGGAAACCGGAGCUAAUACCGGAUAACAUAUUGAACCGCAUGGUUCAAUAGUGAAAGGCGGCUUUGCUGUCACUUAUAGAUGGAUCCGCGCCGUAUUAGCUAGUUGGUAAGGUAACGGCUUACCAAGGCAACGAUACGUAGCCGACCUGAGAGGGUGAUCGGCCACACUGGAACUGAGACGCGGUCCAGACUCCUACGGGAGGCAGCAGUAGGGAAUCUUCCGCAAUGGGCGAAAGCCUGACGGAGCAACGCCGCGUGAGUGAUGAAGGUCUUCGGAUCGUAAAACUCUGUUAUCAGGGAAGAACAAAUGUGUAAGUAACUGUGCACAUCUUGACGGUACCUGAUCAGAAAGCCACGGCUAACUACGUG